CAUAUAUGAAACUGUGUCUUAUAAAACCUGUUCCAGCAGUUCGUUCUCGCGAGUCGCGCGCUCUACGGAAUAUAAAAAUGCAAGCUAUGGCCGCUUUAUCACAUAUCCCAUUGGGUUUAAAUUUAUUUCGAUGCACUUAACGGUACCUACGUAACAUUAUUUAAUUUUAAACCGUUCAACGUUAUUAUGAAUAGUAAUUGAAACGUACGUAAUUAUUAAUUGGAAGUUCACAUAAAAAAAACUUAUCGCUUUUGUCUAAAAAAAAAAAUAAUUUCAUAAAUACCUAAAUAUAUACGGACAAAUCAAACAGAUUGAGCUGGCUCCCAACCAAAGAAGGCGGGAAAGUCUAUGGUCAUUAUGCAUAGAUAAGAUAUUAUGAAAAUGGUUAUUUUAAUCGUGAGCGCAAAUCGCUGGCUUUAUUUGCAAUAGAUUUCUUUGGGACCUUAAUCCUUUCAUUAUAAAACAAAGUCCUCUGCCGCUACUACCGCGGGCGGAUUUUUGUACGGUUUUCACCAAUACAUAUGUGUGAUUUCUGAGGAAGGUAUACUUGUAAUUUAUUAUGUUUUACCAGAGCGAAGUCAACAGACAGACAGAUAACAAAGUAAGUCAGAGUUGGUUAACUAUAGUUAGUAGCUUUUUGAGUAAUUAUAUGCCGUAAAAAGUGCGAGCGGCCCGACCUGGCUUCUUGUAUCAUAAAAUGUAUUUUUAAGAGCAACCUUUUAAUUAUUUAUGUAAAUAACUUCAGACCACCCUGACCCAUCUUCACACUGGGUCUUGCAGGCAACAUGCACGUCUCGGCGGGCAAAUUUAGGUAUUUUUACUUCUACUUCUACUUUUUAUUUCUACUUUGAGUUUCAGAAUUAUUUUUGGAAAUUUUCUAACAUCAAAAGAACGUUCAGUCAUACUUCGCGAAAGAAAUUUUCAAAGCAAACGUCGAUGUUUACUAGCUAUCUGACGGACAGACAGAGUGACGCAGCUAUGUUUACUGCUAAACACCGCUCUCUCAUCCUGCGCAAAAUAAUAAAUGGCUAUAAUUUGGCACAAUUAACACCACAGAUAAACAAAAUAAAGAAAAAAUUCUAAUCAAGCAAGAGAAUAAAGAUAAUGAUGACAUCUUUUUAUACCUGUCCAAGCAUUACAGGUUAUAAAUAAAUGGGAACAGGAUUCUGAAUCCAGUUGACGUUAAUAGAAUACGUCUGCGAUUGAUGAGAAACCUGUAGGUACAGUCAAAAGCGCAUCAAUAUACUAAAAUUUAUUGCAAACUCUAUUACCGCGCCAUAGAGGUUCAUGCGUGGUUACUUGAUGUGCUGUGGACUGUACGGCAAUCUAGACUAUGACUACAACAUGUGUAGUUUAAUGCGGGAUGUCUAAAGCUUACAGAAAAAAACUCUUCACCGAAACCAGGUUACGCUGAAAUUUUUUUUUCGUUUCUCAAAAUCUAUAAGUUUGAUUUAAAAUAAGUAAUCGGCAUAUUCAGCUAUGUUCGACACAAAUUAGGUUAGGUUAGGUAAGAACACGUUUUUAAACUUAUGUAUCUUAAUAGGCAGGUAUAUAAUUUAUUUUUUUCGGCGAAACGUGCUGGUGAUCAAUGUUUCUGUCUGAGGUUCCACACUCAUUCAAUGUCGGCAAUGUUCCACACUGUCGGCGAAUAGUUCUUCAAAUUUUGCGGUUUCGAUGUACCUACAUUUCUGUAUUUUCCUUGCAGUAAAUAAAAAGCGUAUUCGCGUCGGUAUGUGUCUGAAUUUGGCGAUAGGAUGGAGCCGGCAUAAAGUCACCAUCAGAUCAAUUUCUUUAAUUUCUUAGCGGACACAAAAUAAUUUACUUUAUGUGGCGUGAGAUUCUGCCCUAGAGUAGGACCAUUCCAUGUCCUCUCAUGAAUAUACGAGGCGACUACGUGACGCCUAGGCUGUUGAUAUGCAACAAUAGCAUUUCCAAGGACGGUUGACGUUAGGCCCCGGUACGCUAUUUUUGUAAGUACGUUGAUUCCGGGCAAUCCAGAACAUGCGAUGAGAGAGAGAGAGAGAUUCAAUAAUAAUUCGAUAUAAAUUGUGCUACAUUAGUUAGUUAGGAUUUUAUUAGUAUGUGUUAUAGUUUUCUUGUGGACACAUUUGUCACUAUUUACUAAACUGAAAACGGUGGCCGCUAAACUAUAAUAUUUUCUAGUAAAACCCUUUAUCUAAUUAGCAAUGUAAUGAUUAUUUUUAAGUCUUUGCUAAUAUACUAGUUGUUCGCCGCGAA
This is a long non-coding RNA of Plodia interpunctella (Indianmeal moth), 2238 nucleotides long. RefSeq lists it as uncharacterized. The transcript is spliced from 3 exons. Lineage: Eukaryota; Metazoa; Arthropoda; Insecta; Lepidoptera; Pyralidae. The record is from RefSeq and is a predicted model, not a curated record.